This 2177-nucleotide ribosomal RNA is filed under the name Klebsiella pneumoniae. Its description in RNAcentral is "bacterial LSU rRNA". It matches the Rfam family "Bacterial large subunit ribosomal RNA", at positions 1 to 2196 of the family's 2925-position model. The record is from RNAcentral. Lineage: Bacteria; Pseudomonadati; Pseudomonadota; Gammaproteobacteria; Enterobacterales; Enterobacteriaceae.
GGGUUGUGAGGUUAAGCGACUAAGCGUACACGGUGGAUGCCCUGGCAGUCAGAGGCGAUGAAGGACGUGCUAAUCUGCGAAAAGCGUCGGUAAGGUGAUAUGAACCGUUAUAACCGGCGAUGUCCGAAUGGGGAAACCCAGUGCAAUUCGUUGCACUAUCGUUAACUGAAUACAUAGGUUAACGAGGCGAACCGGGGGAACUGAAACAUCUAAGUACCCCGAGGAAAAGAAAUCAACCGAGAUUCCCCCAGUAGCGGCGAGCGAACGGGGAGCAGCCCAGAGUCUGAAUCAGCUUGUGUGUUAGUGGAACGGUCUGGAAAGUCCGACGGUACAGGGUGAUAGUCCCGUACACCAAAAUGCACAGGCUGUGAACUCGAAGAGUAGGGCGGGACACGUGGUAUCCUGUCUGAAUAUGGGGGGACCAUCCUCCAAGGCUAAAUACUCCUGACUGACCGAUAGUGAACCAGUACCGUGAGGGAAAGGCGAAAAGAACCCCGGCGAGGGGAGUGAAAAAGAACCUGAAACCGUGUACGUACAAGCAGUGGGAGCACCUUCGGGUGUGACUGCGUACCUUUUGUAUAAUGGGUCAGCGACUUAUAUUCUGUAGCAAGGUUAACCGUAUAGGGGAGCCGCAGGGAAACCGAGUCUUAACUGGGCGUUAAGUUGCAGGGUAUAGACCCGAAACCCGGUGAUCUAGCCAUGGGCAGGUUGAAGGUUGGGUAACACUAACUGGAGGACCGAACCGACUAAUGUUGAAAAAUUAGCGGAUGACUUGUGGCUGGGGGUGAAAGGCCAAUCAAACCGGGAGAUAGCUGGUUCUCCCCGAAAGCUAUUUAGGUAGCGCCUCGUGAAUUCAUCUUCGGGGGUAGAGCACUGUUUCGGCUAGGGGGUCAUCCCGACUUACCAACCCGAUGCAAACUACGAAUACCGAAGAAUGUUAUCACGGGAGACACACGGCGGGUGCUAACGUCCGUCGUGAAGAGGGAAACAACCCAGACCGCCAGCUAAGGUCCCAAAGUCAUGGUUAAGUGGGAAACGAUGUGGGAAGGCACAGACAGCCAGGAUGUUGGCUUAGAAGCAGCCAUCAUUUAAAGAAAGCGUAAUAGCUCACUGGUCGAGUCGGCCUGCGCGGAAGAUGUAACGGGGCUAAACCAUGCACCGAAGCUGCGGCAGCGACACUAUGUGUUGUUGGGUAGGGGAGCGUUCUGUAAGCCUGCGAAGGUGACCUGUGAGGGUUGCUGGAGGUAUCAGAAGUGCGAAUGCUGACAUAAGUAACGAUAAAGCGGGUGAAAAGCCCGCUCGCCGGAAGACCAAGGGUUCCUGUCCAACGUUAAUCGGGGCAGGGUGAGUCGACCCCUAAGGCGAGGCCGAAAGGCGUAGUCGAUGGGAAACAGGUUAAUAUUCCUGUACUUGGUGUUACUGCGAAGGGGGGACGGAGAAGGCUAUGUUAGCCGGGCGACGGUUGUCCCGGUUUAAGCAUGUAGGCUGAUUAUCCAGGCAAAUCCGGAUAAUCAAGGCUGAGGUGUGAUGACGAGGCACUACGGUGCUGAAGUAACAAAUGCCCUGCUUCCAGGAAAAGCCUCUAAGCAUCAGGUAACAUCAAAUCGUACCCCAAACCGACACAGGUGGUCAGGUAGAGAAUACCAAGGCGCUUGAGAGAACUCGGGUGAAGGAACUAGGCAAAAUGGUGCCGUAACUUCGGGAGAAGGCACGCUGGUGUGUAGGUGAAGUCCCUGCGGAUGGAGCUGAGACCAGUCGAAGAUACCAGCUGGCUGCAACUGUUUAUUAAAAACACAGCACUGUGCAAACACGAAAGUGGACGUAUACGGUGUGACGCCUGCCCGGUGCCGGAAGGUUAAUUGAUGGGGUUAUCCGUAAGGAGAAGCUCUUGAUCGAAGCCCCGGUAAACGGCGGCCGUAACUAUAACGGUCCUAAGGUAGCGAAAUUCCUUGUCGGGUAAGUUCCGACCUGCACGAAUGGCGUAAUGAUGGCCAGGCUGUCUCCACCCGAGACUCAGUGAAAUUGAACUCGCUGUGAAGAUGCAGUGUACCCGCGGCAAGACGGAAAGACCCCGUGAACCUUUACUAUAGCUUGACACUGAACAUUGAGCCUUGAUGUGUAGGAUAGGUGGGAGGCUUUGAAGCGUGGACGCCAGUCUGCGUGGAGCCAACCUUGAA